RNAcentral lists this long non-coding RNA (2491 nucleotides) under Homo sapiens (human). RNAcentral's name for it is "HSALNT0398546". The record is from RNAcentral. Lineage: Eukaryota; Metazoa; Chordata; Mammalia; Primates; Hominidae.
GGGCCCAGGGCGACAGCGGAGCCUUCACACCGCUUUCUCCGCGCGCUGAUGGAGGAUUCCUGGCCUCACAGCAGUGCCUGGCCUGUGGGCGUCCCCGGCAGUCCUCGGCUGCGGGACCUGUAUCGGGACUGCGCAAAGUGGGCUUCCAGGAGAGCAGGGCGUCCCUCAGUCAGCUGACCCCUUGGAGCGUGGGGCAGCCCAGGCCCGUGAGGCCGCCAGUGUCACCCUCAGGCCCGCGAGGCCCCCGAGCCCCUUGUGGGGUCCAAGGCCCAUUCUGGAUCAGUCACGAGGCAAGACCGCGGACCCUCAGGAGAUCACCAGGAGCCCGCCGCGCAUUCCUCCGCCUCCACCACGCCAGUCACCUGCUCAGCCCGAGGGCAGCCAGCGGCCGUCGCCCCAGUGAGGCGGCCGGUGAGGAGCUGAGGCCGUGACCAGGGCAGCGCCCCGCGAGUCAGCGUCAGUCCCCGCGCCAGCCAGUUCCUCAGACAAUCAGCUCACCAUUCCCAUCGCGUAUGCUGGGAAAUCAUCAAUAUACCCGCUGUCAUGGUGAGUUAGUUUGUCUACUUGAGAAUUUCCUAGAAAUAUACUAAAAAAUUGUGUCUGUAUUCUGUCACUCAGCAAUCAUUUUUUGAAACUGAGCCAAGCUGUUGUAUAUGCCUGUAGUUCACAAUGUGUUAUUGCUAAGUAGUAUUAUCUUUUAUUUACUCACCUAUUGAUAGACGUUUAAGAUUUUCCAGGUUUUUUCUAUAGGUAUCCAAGUAGAAGUCUUUUUAUAGACAUGUUUUUAUACUCAUUUAUACACAAGAUGUGGAAUUUUUAGUUCAAAUAAUACCUGCAUAUUUAAUUUUUGUAGGAAUUGCAGAAUCGUUAUCCAAAUGGCUUUGACUUUUACCACUACUCCCAGCCAUGCACCAGAAUUCCGGUAGCUGUACACCUUUAUUAACACUUGGUAUUGUCAGUCUUUAUAUUUUAACAAUUCUAGUGAGAGCGUAGUGUCAUCUCUAGUGUAUUUUGAAUUUAGGUACCAUCAAUUUCAUCAACUGAGUAUUUCUCAUAUGCAAUUAUUUGAGGUUUGACAGAUGUAUGUAGCUAUAUACCCACAACCACAGUCAAGACACUACCAAGUGCCAUUACUUAAAACAUUCCCUCCUGAUGUUCCUUGGUAGGCAACUGUCCCUCCCUAUUUAAUUCCUGUAAAAACACUAAUCUAUUCUCUACCCUACUGAUAUGCCUUUUAAAGAAUGUCAUAUAAACGGAAUCAUUCAAAAUGUAGCCUUUAAAAUCUGGAUUCAUUCACUUGGUUUAAUGCAUUUGGGGCUCGUCCAUGUGAUGGGGUGUUGUUUUUAAAUUGCUGACUCAUACCUCACUGUUUUCAUAGAUCCCCAUUUUGUAUACAUUUACUGGCUGGUGAACAUUCAUAUUGUUUUUAGGUUUUGGUGACUGUAAAGUAAAACUAGUAUAAAUAUUCACAUGCAGAUUUCUGUGUGUGGACACUAGUUUUUUUAUUUCUCUUGGGUAAAUACCUAGGAGUCGGGUGCUUGGUCAUAUGUGUAAGUUCGAAUUUAUAAGAAAUUGCCAAACUGUUCUCCAAAGUGGGUGUACCAUUUUACAUUCCCACCAGCAGAAUAUAUGAGUUCUGGUUGCUCUACGUUUUCAUUAACAUUUGGUAUUAUCCGGAUUUAAAAAAAAAUUUCUUUGGGUUUUGUUUUGUAGCCAUUCUAAUAGCUCUGCUUGCUGCCAGAAACAAAGGCUGGGAGCCAGCAACAGGAACCAGCCAGGGGAUGAGUUCAGCCCAGACGUGCUGCCUGGACCUGGAUUCCUGCCUCAGUGCAGGCCUUGACCUGAUUUCUUGCUUCAUUACCAUACUAAAAUCUCCACUCAGGGGCGAGAACUAUGCCUUGCUAGGCACAGAAGGUGCCAAGUACAAAAGAAAACACAAGAGUGUGCACACUUCAGCCCCUCCUGAAGGAACCCACCUUUUUCCAGAUCUGCCCGCCUCAGUCUCCAACUACCUGCCCUAAGGGCCCUUAAGAUCCCCUUUUACCAACCCCUGGGAGAAGGUGCUUUGCACAUGAACUCCCUUUCUCCAUUUCUUGAUCAAUGAAUAAAGUUUCUUCUCCGCUUUGCCGAUUCUGGUCUCAUUCUAUUGGCGUAAGUGGCAGGGGGCAGAGAAAGGACCCACUAGGGCCAACUCACCCCUCCAAGGGUGGGUAACAUUUGCAGCAAAACUCCUCAAGAGGUUGUUUGUCGUCACUCUUCCUACCUUCCUUUCUUCGGUUAUUUUCCAAACGAGCUUCCAAUCAAGUCCCCCACCCUUUCACACAUGUUCAUCAAAGCUGCCAUUGCCAGUUAUCUCAGACGUAAACAAAAUCAACUCAAUAUGGAUUAAAGAUGGAAAUGUAAGGCCUGAAACUGUAAAACUCCUUGAAGAAAACAGGAGAAAAAGCUUCUUGACAUUAUCUGGGCUCAGAUUUUUUUAGAUACUGUAAAC